Molecule: long non-coding RNA, 390 nt
Organism: Apodemus sylvaticus (European woodmouse)
Lineage: Eukaryota; Metazoa; Chordata; Mammalia; Rodentia; Muridae
Exons: 3
Source: RefSeq, a predicted model, not a curated record
CGCGCACGGUGCGGAAGUCUCUUUUGCUGCAGUUCGGGUGCUUGUGUGUGCGUGUUUUGUGUUAGUGGUUUUGGGGCCCUAAUUGUGAGCGGACAGCAUGGGGGAGACGCAAGGAGGUUGUGGUGCUGGGCGCCGGCUGCCAACUCUGCAAAAGCGUGGUGAAGGUUAGUGCGCCGACCACCGCCUUGUAGAACUGAUACGGUGUUAGGCGGCGCCAUGCCUAGUUCGCCACCGCUGGGUGAGACGGUAACAGCUGAACUAUUGAGUAAUGGAAGACGUGUACAGGUACUGUAAUAGAGUCAGAUCUUCCGGUCACCUUAACAGGGGAUCUUCGCAUCUAAAUUUUGAAAAAUGAGUAUUAUAUCAAAUAAAAGGUUGUCUUGUGUGUAA